RNAcentral lists this non-coding RNA (29 nucleotides) under Mus musculus (house mouse). The record is from RNAcentral. Lineage: Eukaryota; Metazoa; Chordata; Mammalia; Rodentia; Muridae.
UGUCUGCAAGAACCUGUCCUGAACUUGUC